RNAcentral lists this ribosomal RNA (665 nucleotides) under Pandoraea sp. SJ5R3. RNAcentral's name for it is "bacterial SSU rRNA". It matches the Rfam family "Bacterial small subunit ribosomal RNA", at positions 779 to 1448 of the family's 1533-position model. Lineage: Bacteria; Pseudomonadati; Pseudomonadota; Betaproteobacteria; Burkholderiales; Burkholderiaceae. The record is from RNAcentral.
UAGAUNACCCUGGUAGUCCACGCCCUAAACGAUGUCAACUAGUUGUUGGGGAUUCAUUUCCUUAGUAACGAAGCUAACGCGUGAAGUUGACCGCCUGGGGAGUACGGUCGCAAGAUUAAAACUCAAAGGAAUUGACGGGGACCCGCACAAGCGGUGGAUGAUGUGGAUUAAUUCGAUGCAACGCGAAAAACCUUACCUACCCUUGACAUGUACGGAAGUCCGCUGAGAGGUGGAUGUGCUCGAAAGAGAACCGUAACACAGGUGCUGCAUGGCUGUCGUCAGCUCGUGUCGUGAGAUGUUGGGUUAAGUCCCGCAACGAGCGCAACCCUUGUCCUUAGUUGCUACGCAAGAGCACUCUAAGGAGACUGCCGGUGACAAACCGGAGGAAGGUGGGGAUGACGUCAAGUCCUCAUGGCCCUUAUGGGUAGGGCUUCACACGUCAUACAAUGGUCGGUACAGAGGGCUGCCAAACCGCGAGGUGGAGCUAACCCCAGAAAACCGAUCGUAGUCCGGAUCGCAGUCUGCAACUCGACUGCGUGAAGCUGGAAUCGCUAGUAAUCGCGGAUCAUCAUGUCGCGGUGAAUACGUUCCCGGGUCUUGUACACNCCGACCGUNACACCAUGGGAGUGGGUUUUGCCAGAAGUAGGUAGCCUAACCGUAAGGAG